GCAGUCGAGCGGACAGAUGGGAGCUUGCUCCCUGAUGUUAGCGGCGGACGGGUGAGUAACACGUGGGUAACCUGCCUGUAAGACUGGGAUAACUCCGGGAAACCGGGGCUAAUACCGGAUGCUUGUUUGAACCGCAUGGUUCAAACAUAAAAGGUGGCUUCGGCUACCACUUACAGAUGGACCCGCGGCGCAUUAGCUAGUUGGUGAGGUAACGGCUCACCAAGGCAACGAUGCGUAGCCGACCUGAGAGGGUGAUCGGCCACACUGGGACUGAGACACGGCCCAGACUCCUACGGGAGGCAGCAGUAGGGAAUCUUCCGCAAUGGACGAAAGUCUGACGGAGCAACGCCGCGUGAGUGAUGAAGGUUUUCGGAUCGUAAAGCUCUGUUGUUAGGGAAGAACAAGUACCGUUCGAAUAGGGCGGUACCUUGACGGUACCUAACCAGAAAGCCACGGCUAACUACGUGCCAGCAGCCGCGGUAAUACGUAGGUGGCAAGCGUUGUCCGGAAUUAUUGGGCGUAAAGGGCUCGCAGGCGGUUUCUUAAGUCUGAUGUGAAAGCCCCCGGCUCAACCGGGGAGGGUCAUUGGAAA
Molecule: ribosomal RNA, 592 nt
Filed under: Bacillus sp. CH183_5D
Lineage: Bacteria; Bacillati; Bacillota; Bacilli; Caryophanales; Bacillaceae
Description: bacterial SSU rRNA
Rfam family: Bacterial small subunit ribosomal RNA
Source: RNAcentral